AACGAACGCUGGCGGCAUGCCUAACACAUGCAAGUCGAACGAGACCUUCGGGUCUAGUGGCGCACGGGUGCGUAACGCGUGGGAAUCUGCCCUUGGGUUCGGAAUAACAGUUAGAAAUGACUGCUAAUACCGGAUGAUGUCUUCGGACCAAAGAUUUAUCGCCCAGGGAUGAGCCCGCGUAGGAUUAGCUAGUUGGUGGGGUAAAAGGCCUACCAAGGCGACGAUCCUUAGCUGGUCUGAGAGGAUGAUCAGCCACACUGGGACUGAGACACGGCCCAGACUCCUACGGGAGGCAGCAGUGGGGAAUAUUGGACAAUA
Molecule: ribosomal RNA, 318 nt
Filed under: uncultured bacterium
Lineage: Bacteria
Description: bacterial SSU rRNA
Rfam family: Bacterial small subunit ribosomal RNA
Source: RNAcentral